RNAcentral lists this long non-coding RNA (39886 nucleotides) under Malus domestica (apple). RNAcentral describes it as "long non-coding RNA (MDOM_LNC016007)". The record is from RNAcentral. Lineage: Eukaryota; Viridiplantae; Streptophyta; Magnoliopsida; Rosales; Rosaceae.
AUCAACCCUAGAUCGUCACCAAAGGUUUGCAUUUCGUGACUUGGUACUUAAAGUGUCCAUGGACCAAGCCAUUGAAGCUCAUCAACUUGUCUUGUCCUUGAACUUGAACUCAUUGGACGCUGACCAUAAUCGAGCCAAGGGGGCCUGGAAUGACUGCUUGGAGCUCUACGAGGACACCGUUGACAAGCUCAACCGUUCGAUCGGCUCCACCAAUGCCCUUGAUGUCAAUACAUGGUUGAGUGCAUCGCUUACUAAUCAACAGACAUGCCAAAAUGGUUUCAAAAACCUCAACAUUCCUAGCUCUCAUUUGCAGUCUUUCCCAAACUACGUCACGCUCUCAACCAACUUGUCCAAGAUGCUUAGCAACUCACUAUCAAUACACAAGGUCUCAACUUCUUCAUCAGCUCUACAUUUUAGCAAACAAGUUCGUGGAAGACGACGGCGUUUGCUUUCGGAUGCUGGGUUCCCAGAAUGGGUUUCAGCCGCUGAUCGAAUGUUACUCCAAUCGAUAAGUAGCGGACCAAACGCUGAUAUGGUAGUAGCACAAGACGGGUCCGGGAAUUACAAGUCAAUUUCUGAAGCUGUGGAUGCUGCGUACAAGCUACAGGGUGGGGCGACUAAAAGGUUUGUCAUACACGUGAAGGCAGGAGUUUACAGAGAAAAUAUCGAGAUUAAGAGGACAAUGAAGAACAUCAUGUUCAUUGGAGAUGGUAUUGAUGCAACGAUUGUCACAGGGAAUGAAAAUGUCCAAGAUGGUUCAACUACAUAUCGCUCUGCCACAUUUGGUAUGUUUGAGUUGAAGCAAUAAUAAACUUUGAAUCAGUUUAAGGGAUAUUUGGACUCAACAAACCCCAUCAUCUUGAGUUAAUUUUGAAACUUUAGGUGGCGUCACACUUAGAUACUAAUUGAUUCAACACCAAUUUAAUUAACUACUGCAUGAUCAAUUUCAAAGUCCUAGAGAGACCACUAUUUAGACUCAAUUUUUCUUUAACUACAUGAUGUGGUUAUUGAUGAUGAAAUUAUUAUUUAAGUGUUUUUUAAAGUGCUUAGUAACACGUCAGAUUGUUUGUAAAUUAGUCUAUCAUAUUAUUCUUCACUUAAACCAUGUUUUGUAAAUCAUAUAACAUGAUUAUUGAUAUUUAAAUUAUUAAGUGUUGAUUAACGUAUUUAAUUUCUAUCAUUACUCUUACUCAAAUUAUAAAGCUAUUUACCAGAUCCUGCUUUUCCUUUUUUUCCUUUUCUCGACAAGAUUUAAAUACUGAUAACCUAGCUAAUUACAUGCCACGUGAAUAGUUACAAGUUUUUCUCCUAGUAUACAUCUAAUGGUUCACAAAAUUAAUAAACUGUUAACUUAAAAUUCAGGGGCUAGCGGCGAUGGCUUUAUUGCUCAAGACAUGACAUUCGAAAACACAGCCGGACCACAGAAAUACCAAGCCGUGGCACUCCGCUCCGGCUCCGACCAUUCAGUCUUCUACCGUUGCAGCUUCAAGGGUUACCAAGACACGUUAUACGUGUAUUCCCAACGCCAAUUCUACCGCGACUGCGACAUAUACGGCACAAUCGACUUCAUCUUCGGCGACGCCACGGUUGUGCUCCAAAAUUGCAACAUCUACGCGAGGAAACCAAUGAACAACCAAGUAAACACCGUGACAGCGCAGUCUAGGACCGACCCGAAUGAAAACACAGGCAUUGUUAUUCAUAAUUCACGAAUCACGGCUGCACAAGAUUUGAGACCUGUACAAGGUUCGUUUAAGACGUACUUGGGUAGGCCGUGGAAAAAGUACUCUAGGACGGUAAUUAUGAACAGUAAUCUUGAUGGGUUGAUCAAUCCUGAUGGUUGGUUUCCGUGGAGUGGAAGCUUUGCUCUCUCCACACUUUAUUACGGGGAGUACAUGAACUCCGGCUCUGGAGCUGGUACUGGAGGGAGGGUCAACUGGCCCGGUUAUCGUGUUAUAACGAGUGCGGUGGAGGCCGGGAAGUUUACGGUUGGGAACUUUUUGGCCGGGGAUUCGUGGAUUCCGGGGACCGGAGUUCCAUAUACAGCUGGUCUAUGAUAAUGCAUGCAUGUGGUUGUGGAGAGAAGUUGUUUGACUUGUUAAGGAGGGACUUGUCACACUUGUGUAUUGUUGUGUGCGGAUAGUGACCUAAAGUGAAAAUCGUCACAUAGCUUGUUUUUAGCUUCCUUUUGGUAAUUAUAUCCCGUUUAUCCCUCCUGUAAUGCAGUAAAUAUUUUCAAACUAUUACUUAAUGUUAUUACGUGGUGUUAUUAAUAGAUAACUCGUUUAAAAGUGCUUAUAAAAUAAGUAAAAGUACUUUUGAUGCAAAUAUUUUUGGAACUAAUCCUUGAUAAAUAUGUAGGUGAAUCCUGAAAAGGCAAUUCAAGUGCUUUUAAAACUCAAAAAUAUUUUUUCUAAAACGUUUUCAAUCAUUUUAAAAACAGUUACAAACAUACCAUGAUACGUUAUCACAUAAUGGUAUUAACAAUAUUGGGUCAACAAUGCCCUUCCUUUCAUCAAAAGAUUUGGGAGGCCAGCAUCCAGUUGAGCGCUGGGCAUACUGACGCCCGAGCUUGUCAAGAAAACUUUGAGUUCGUGAACGAUGGGCCUAUCAAGACCGAAGUGUCUAAUCGAGUGAAAAUUUUUAUUAAGCUUGCGGGCAUUGCGCUUGAGCUCCUUGUUAAAGUUGAAAAAGGGACAGUGCUCUGAUCAUAAUGCACUUACGGUCGUUGGAAAGGUUGAAAUUGUCAAUUAGUGAGAGAAUUAAUAAAAAUAAAUUGAGGUCUAAAUACUUCAAAUGGAUACUUUGGAUGCGAUCCCUAACUUUAACAUUUUUUUAUUAAAACCUUCAUAAUAUUCAAAGUUUGAUCAAAGUCCCUUGACUUUGUACACCUCAUUAUAUUACUAUUAAUAUUUAUAUUUUCAUAGUUUUGAUAUUAAUUGUUUGAUAUUUUAUAAGAUUUAUAAUCCUAUAAAUUUAAAACCCCUCAUUAUAAUACUAUUAAAAACGGUUACAACAAAAAAAUUCAAACAUUUUGAUUUAAUAAAUAGAUAAAAACUAUGUAAAAAUAAGAAAUAAGAAAUGGCAAAAGAAUGUAUCCAUAGUGUUAAAAAAAUUGGUACAUUUUACAAAAAAAAAAGGUACAUUUCACAUAUAACAAAGUGGUACAUUAAUAAAGAAUAAUGGAUACAUUAUAAAACUAAAAAGAAAAUGCUACAAAUGAAUUUUUAGGGUACAGAUAAAAGAUUAAAAAAUUAUGAGUACAAAUGAUAUUUUUUUUAAAUAUAGGUGCUAAAAAAUUAAUACAUGGGUACAAAAUAAAACUAAAAACAAAAUACUACAAAUUUAAAAAAAAAUGUUGCAAAUUAAAAGUGGGUACAAACUAAAAAUAUAAAUGUAUGAUACAAAGUUUAGGCAUAAAACAUAAAUAUACCAUAUGCAAUUUUUCUAUCAUUGGUUAAAUAUAUAAUGUCACGUGACGGUAUACACAUGGGUACAAACACAAAUAAAACUUUAAAAAAUUGGGCACAAAAAGAAACUAAUAUAUGGGUACAAAUUAAAAAUGAAAAGAAAAUUGGUACAAAUUAAAAAAUAUUUGCAAAUUAAAAAAAGGUACAAACUAAAAAUAAAAAUAUAUGAUAAAAAAUUUAGCCAUAAAUAUAAAUAUACUGAUUGUAACAUUUUUAACACUAAAUGAAUAUAUUUAAAAAUAAAAAUAUUUUAUUAUUCAAAUAAUUAAUGAUGUUAUUAAUACCCAAGGAUCUUGAUCAAAAAUUGAAAAUGAAUAGGAUUUUAAUCAAUGGAGUAACAAAAAGAAGGAUGUGAAUCUAAUUUUCCCUACUUCAAAUCUUAACGUCGGUUUGUAUUUUUUUUCCUUGAUUGUGUCGUCUUAUAAAAAGAUUAUAUAGUAGCAAGGAAGACAAUUUAAUCCUAUAUAUAGGUUAAUCCUGUAUACAGGUUAUAGUUUAAAUCCUAGUUUAUCAUCAGUUUGUAUUUUCUUGCUUGAUCGUGAUAUCUUACGUAAAAUAAAAUAAAAAUAAAAAGAAAAAAAGAAAACAUAUGUGUAUUCUUAUAAUGAAAAAUAAGAUUACCUAUAAUUAAUACAUUAAAAUGAAACUAAAGCAUACGUAUAUUCUUAGAAUGAAAAAUAAGCAUAUGUAUAUCCUUCUAUUUCAGAACAGUUUUGUUUGUACCAUACUUGACCAAUCCCGAAACUACUGAGCACCGGUCAACGUUAUACCGUCAAGGACCCAGAAGAGUUUCCCUCCAACCAGGAGGCCAAUCAUAGCGCGACACGUGUUGACAUCAGAAGCCAAUCAUAGCACGACACGUGUCAACAUCAGAAGCCAAUCAUAACACGGCACGUGUCAAUGUCAGAAUGAAACUAGAAAUUUUCUUCUAUAAAUAGAGAUCAUUCUCUCACAAUAUUUCCUAAUGUCAUUUGUACUAAAUCAUUCACUAGUACUCAUUAAAGGAAAGCUUAAACCUAUAUGUACUUGUGUAAACCCUUCACAAUUAAUGAGAACUCCUCAACUCCGUGGACGUAGCCAAUCUGGGUGAACCACGUACAUCUUGUGUUUGCUUCCCUAUCCCUAUCCAUUUACAUACUUAUCCACACUAGUGACCGGAGCAAUCUAGCGAAGGUCAUAAACUUAACACUUUUUGUUGUACCAAAGUCCUCACUGAUUUUGUGCAUUAACAUUUGGCGCCGCCUGUGGGAACGACACUUAUUCCCACUCUUUUCAGCUUUGCUAAGUUGGUUUCCACCAUUCGUACACUCUCUUUUGACCAGGCAUCCCUCUCCAACAUGGGGAGCGAAGGAAGCCACAGCACACAGAAUGACACCUCUCUUACUCCUAAUGUGAAGCAACGAAAAAAUGAAGGAAAUAGGGUUGCUCUUCAAGCUAAAGUCGAUGAGCUAGAAGCUCAGAACAACAAGAUAACAAUGAAGAAUGAGGUCCUCCAGGAGCAAUAUGAGAAGCUCUUUGAGACGUUCCACGAAACUAGGCGUACUCAAACACGCGAGCUCGUUGCCCCUGUGGACAUCAACCAUCAUCUGGGUGCCCCCCAACACGAAGGGUCACCUCCCUUCAACAUGGGUAUCCCUGAUGAAGAAUGAGCUAAUCAUCAAAACAUUGAUAAACAUGAGACUUCUCUCAACCCAGAUGCUUCGACCCGAAGUAGAAGAAGUGGAGGAAGACACCUCUUUGCAGAAGGGUUGGAAGGAUCGAAAGCCAUUUAUUGUGACUGCCGAGACUUUCUAAAGUAACGUCGAGAGAAUCCCCUCCAUAUAUGCUCGAAGAUCAAUGACCCAAGGGUUUCUGAAAGACUCGGUCCCCUCCUACGACCCAGGCCAGCUGCUAAUCUAGGGAAGGAACGACAGGUCCCAGAGGAACAUGAAGGUACGGAGGACUCUGAGGUAUUCCGACAGACUUACCCUAGAAGUCAGUACAGUGAGUCCAAGAAAAAACCACACGCCCUUACUCAAACUUUCCUACUUCCAAGAGGCGAUGGAGACUUACCAAAGAAAAUUCCAGUGGUACAUGACUCCACUCAGGACCUCAUUUUCCUACAGCUCAUUGAGGAAGUAAACAAGUUGAAGGCCGAACGUCAGGCCGAGAUACCUGACUGGAACCAACCCAAGCCUGGCCCUUUCACAAGAAUGAUUCUCGACACCCCCUUCAAGCGAAGACAAAACAAAAGCUUGGUUUACAACUCUAUACUGGAAGGGAUGACCCAAUUGAACACCUUAACCUCUUUGAGUUCACCAUGGCAUAUUGGAUGCACACCGACGAAGAACAAUGUCUUCUCUUCCCAUCCACCCUCUUUGGCGGAGCUCUAAAUUGGUAUUGUCGUUUUCCACCUGAGACAGUAGACUCAUUUAAAGAAUUGAUGAAACUGUUUGUCUCUCAACACAUCUUCCAGACCAAUCACUUACAUUCUGCAGAUGACUUGUACAUUAUUCGCCAGAAGCGGGACAAGUUAUUACGAGAGUAUGCCGGUCGCUUUAGCCAUGAGUAUUCUCGCUGCGCUGAGGCAGAUGACAAGACUGCCCUCAAGGCUUUCACGGCAGGCCUACGUGAUUGUUUCUUCAAGUACAUGAUCAAUGCCAACACUUGGAAGACUUACUCUGAGGUGAUGGCACAGGUUUACAACCACGUCUUCACUGAAGCAAGGACAUACCAAGGGAACCCCUAUCAACAAAUGGGAAAUGGAAGUCAAGUUCUACCAAGUGAGGAGAUAUUGGCAAUUCAGACACCCAUUGCAUCAUCUCCUGCCUCAUUUAGCUACUCGUUAAGUCACCAAACGUAUCUGUCUCUUGGUAAGAGGAAUUAUUUUUACUCUCAGCAAGCUUAUUACAACAAGAGGGAUAAAAGUUCGUAUCAAGACAACCAGGGGUGAACGUACCGUCAACUAUUAUGACUAUGGGGCCAAGCCUCACUCUUUCAAAGUGGAGGACUAGGUACUGAAGGAAAUACUAUUAUAAGAAGGCAUACACAUUAAAAAUGUUUUAACUCUCAACCGCUUCAGAUCUUUUGUCACACAAGUCAUUCGGCAAAUAUUUAAAGAAGAGGGAAUUUAGACAACUUCUUCUGAGUCUUUUGCGUUCCUAGCACUGGAACACUUGGUCUACGCUGACCUACCCUUAUACUUCAACUCAGAGCUUCAACAUGCGUACUUUGACACAAAGUAUGUGAUACUAAAUGUUACAACCAACAUGGUUCACAUAUCAAAAGCAUGGAUCCCUUCAUGCAUAGCAAAACAUUCAUAAACAGAACUUAUAUCAAUCAACAUAAACAUUAUACAUUCCAACACAUUCAUACAUAAACAUCAUACAUUCCAACACAUUCAUACAUAAACACCAUACAUUCCAACGCAUUCAUACAUAAGCCAACUGUGCUUCAAAAGGGUUCAACAUACUUUGUGUCUUCGACACUUGCUACAAUGUGCCUCGACACCUUGCCCUUAUUCUUACCAACCAGGUGAUGAAAUGUGAAUAAGGAACUCAUCUUCAUGCCACAAACUAAGUGAUUAAAUGUACAACCUGUACUCUCCUUCAUGCCACAAACUAGGUGAUGAAUUGUACAACCCGUAUUCUAAUAUCAUUUGGCAACUUGCCACUCAUGCCACCAACCAGGUGAAGAAGGAACUUAUCUUCGUGCCACCAACCAGGUGAUGAAAUGUACAACCCGUACUCUCAUUCAUGCCACCAACUAGGUGAUGAAAUGUACAACCCGUACUCUAAUAUCAUUUGGCAACUUGCCACUCAUGCCACCAACCAGGUGAAGAAUGAACUCAUCUUCAUGCCACAAACUAGGUGAUGAAAUGUACAACCCGUACUCUAAUAUCAUUUGGCAACUUGCCACUCAUGCCACCAACCAGGUGAAGAAGGAACUCAUCUUCAUGCCACAAACUAGGUGAUGAAAUGUACAACUCGUACUCUCAUUCAUGCCACCAACCAGGUGAUGAAAUGUACAACCCGUACUCUAAUAUCAUUUGGCAACUUGCCACUCAUGCCACCAACCAGGUGAAAAAUGAACUCAUCUUCGUGCCACCAACCAGGUGAUGAAAUGUACAACCCGUACUCUCAUUCUUAUCACCAACCAGGUAAUGAAAUGUACAACCCGUACUCUCCUUCAUGCCACCAACCAGGUGAUGAAAUGUACAACCCGUACUCUAAUAUCAUUUGGCAACUUGCCACUCAUGCCACCAACCAGGUGAAGAAUGAACUCAUCUUCUUGCCACCAACCAGGUGAUGAAAUGUACAACCCGUACUCUCCUUCUUGUCACCAACCAGGUGAUGAAAUAUACAACCCGUACUCUAAUAUCAUUUGGCAACUUGCCACUCAUGCCACCAACCAGGUGAAGAAGGAACUCAUCUUUAUGCCACAAACUAGGAAAUGAAAUGUACAACUCGUACUCUCAUCCAUGCCACCAACCAGGUGAUGAAAUAUACAACCAGUACUCUAAUAUCAUUUGGCAACUUACCACUCAUGCCACCAACCAGGUGAAGAAGGAAUUCAUCUUCAUGCCACCAACAAGGUGAUGAAAUGUACAACCCGUACUCUCCUUCUUGCCACUAACUAGGUGAUGAAAUGUGAUGAAGGAACUCACAUUCGUAUGACUAACCAAGUGAUGAAAGCAACUCACCAUUCAUUCCACCUACCAGAAGACAAGUGGUACAAUUUGUACAUGUGAACUUCUAGCAUUCACAGAUAAUAAAAAAUCCUCAAGCUUGACAACUCAACUAGGGGAGCACUUAUGCCCAACAAGAGUUAUAGUCAUCAAUAAAGUCUUAUUGCAAGCCAACAACAACUUCAGUGCAUGGCAUACGAAGAUCAAGCUAUUCAGCCAUCUUGCAUCUGCUUCAGACAUUUCCCCUCUGUAACAAUGCAAACACUACAACUCGUAAAAAGCUUCACACAUUCUUGAUCAAGAUAGUGUGAAGCAAAACCAAUUUAUGGUGCCAAUAAGAGCUUUAUCAAUAGAGGGUAACCACAAUUCUCAAAAGCUUCACACACUAUUGAUUAAGACAGUGUGAAGCAAAACAAAUUAUGAUGCCAACAAGAGCUUCAUCAAUGGAGGGUAACUAUAAUUCUCAAAAGCUUCACACACUCUUGAUCAAGACAGUGUGAGACAAAACAAAUUUAUGGUGCCAACAAGAGCUUCAUCAAUGGAGGGCAACCACAAUUCUCAAAAGCUUCACACACUCUUGAUCAAGACAGUGUGAAGCAAAACCAAUUUAUGGUGCCAACAAGAGCUUUAUCAAAUGAGGGCAACCACAAAUUCUCAAAAGCUUCACACUAUCUUGAUCAAGAUAGUGUGAAGCAAAAUCAAUUCGUGAUACCCAACAAAGCUUCACCACAAAAGCUUCACACUAUCUUGAUCAAGAUAGUGUGAAGCAAAAUCAAUUCAUGGUACCCAACAAAAGCUUCAACUCCAAAUCUUCACCAACAAAAGCUUCAUCAAUGGAAGACAACUACAAAUGCUCAAAAGCCUCACACUAUCUUAAUCAAGAUAGUGUGAAGCAAAAUCAAUUCAUGGUACCCAACAAAAGCUUCAACUCCAAAGCUUCACCAACAAAAGCUUCAUCAAUGAAGGACAACUGCAAAUUCUCAAAAGCUUCGCACUAUCUUGAUCAAGAUAGUGUGAAGCAAAAUCAAUCCAUGGUACCCAACAAAAGCUUCACCCAUAAAAACUUCACCAACAAAAGCUUCAACACUAAAGCUUCACCAACAAAAGCUUCACCAACAAAAGCUUCAUCAAUGGAGGCCAACUACAAAUUCUUAAAAGCUUCACACUAUCUUGAUCAAGAUAGUGUGAAGCAAAAUCAAUUCAUGGUACCCAACAAAAGCUUCACCUACAAAGCUUCAACUCUAAAGCUUCACCUACAAAAGAUUCACCCACAAUAACUUCACCUACAAAAGCUUUACCAACAAAAACUUCACCCACCACAAAAGCUUCACCCACCACAAAAGUUUCACCCAUAAAAGCUUCACCAACAAAAGCUUCACCCACAAAAUCUUCCCCCACCAAAAAAGCUUCACCCACAAAAUCUUCCCCCACCACAAAAGCUUCACCCACAAAAGCUUCACCUACAAAAGCUUGACCCAUAAAAGUUUGACCCACAAAAGCUUGACCGAUAAAAGCUUGACCGAUAAAAGCUUGACCCACAAAAGCUUGACCUACAAAAGCUUCACCCACAAAAGCUUCACCCACAAAAGCUUCACCCACAAAAGUUUCACCCACAAAAGCUUGACCCACAAAAGCUUCACCUACAAAAAUUUGACCCACAAAAGCUUCACCUAUAAAGUUUCAACACAAAAGCUUCACACUAUCUUGAUCAAGAUAGUGUGAAGCAAAAUCAAUUCAUGGUGCCCAACAAAGCUUCAACCUCAAAACUUCACCUACAAAGCUUCAACACUAAAACUUCACCUACAAAGGUUAAAAUAUAUAUAUAUAUAUAUAUAUAUAUUCGAAAAUUCAAAAUUUUUAAAAUUAGAAGAAAAAAAAAUUCGAAAAUUCGAAAAUUCAAAAAAAAAAAAAUUGCCUAGGCCUCUUCUUCUUUGGGCCUAACAACUUUCAUAACAAAUAUAUAUGAAUGAGGAGUUUUGGGCUACCACUUAGAAAGGAAAUGCCUCAUUCGUCAACUCCUUCUACCGGAGACUUAGGGGACUCCUACCAUAUACUACUGCAUCUUGAUACUCAGAAGUCUCACGACCACUCAGUGACUUGGAUUUUUCAAGUCUCCAACCGAGAAGUUUUCCUCACUCGAGAAAUUAAGGGAGCACUACCUCAACAUAUAUGUUUCACUCUCAAAGCUUCAACAAAAGAAAAAAUUCAAAGAACUUAGUGAAGAAGGCCUUGGUGUAUUUAACACAAUACGUUGAAAUGAAGCAAAGCUUGUUUAUUGAUAUCUCCGAUAAGUUACAAAUAUGUACAUAUACAUGAAUCAAAAUAAACAAACAAGAGGGAGCCUUCACAAAAAUUGCUCAUGAGAAGUCUCAGCAAUCGACAAAGCCUCAGAAAGAGUAGGCACCAGAGGGUGAUCAUUCGGAGCCUCAGUACUGGGCAGAACCCCAGAAUGAGGAGGCACCGAAGGUUGAUCAUUUGGAACUUCAUUACGCGGUACAGCCUCAGAAGACGAAUGCAAUAAAUGCCUUUGGAACAAACCCACAAACCUCUGAUGAUCAAGCAAAAUCUGACCAUCAGAUUCCUGCAGCUGGUCAAGCUUCCUCUUCAUGUUUGUAGCAUAGUCAUGUGCGAGCCUAUGCAACUGUUUAUUCUCAUGCUUGAGCCCUCUGAUCUCCUGUUUGAGACUUAUCACUUCAGCUGCCAAUGAUUCUGUUUGUGGCAGGAAUUUCCGUCAGGGAUGUUCCCUGGCCGACAAGCAUACAGCUCCCCGAGAGGUUAGCGCCGGUUGAUGCUUUCUGUCAGGCUUCUACUUCACUGGUGGGCUUAUCGGGCAAAACUUAUCGGGCAAGGCUUGUCGGGCAAAGCUGAAAGAGAAGGACAAAGUUAACUUUGAAAUGUGCCUUCGUGGGGCCUUAGGUGUAGGCCUUGAGGUUCACAAUCAAGAUUAACUUUUAAGUGCUCAGGCGUGCCACUACCAUCUUCAGCAUGACAGAUGUAAAACAGAUGUUGAGUUUUAGUUGUAUAUAUAUCCGAUAGACUAUGUUAGUUAUGACAUGUGCCUUUAUGGGGCCUUAGGUGUAGGCCUUAAGGCUUCCAGUCAAUAACUAGCUCAGUACUCGAACAUAUAAUGUCCGCUUCAUUGAUUAUAUGAGUCUUAUAACCAUUAUACUUCUGAUGACCUGAGCCCGAAGAGCAGAAAUGAAUCCAAAUAGGUGCCUUUGUAGGACCUUAGAUAUAGGCCUUGAGGCUUCCCAUCAGAAUUCCUUCUAUACUUAAACGUUCUAGCCCGAGGAAUAGAAUGAAUCCAAAUAGGUGCCUUUGUAGGGCCUUAGAUAUAGGCUUUGAGGCUUCAUGUCAGAAUUCAUUCCAUACUCAAACGUUCUAUGGUAAUCAUAAUAUAAUAGAAAUAAAACUAAGGAAUAGGUCGAUUACUUGCGCCCCAAGUAACUUCAGACUUCUUGUUAUCAAAGCUUGUCGUGGAUGGGUUAAGUCCAUAUAAGGUUCUUUUUUAUGCCUUGAGGCCAAGGACUUUUAAGUGAUCAAAUCCUACAUGCCCGAGGGCUUAGAACUUAGAUCUGGUUUGAACUCUAAAGACAUAUUCAAAUCGGAUUCAAGCAUUGAGAGAGUCUUUUAAUAGCCAUCUUACUAGAAAUGACUUGAAUACAACUUGAAGUAUACAACAUAUUGCUAGGUUAAUGAAUGAAAAGACAGAAACAAAGAGGGUCGGGCAAGGCUGAUCGUCUUGCAACUUCCUAUCUUUGUGGUUUAUCAAGGGGAUUGAGAGCUUUAGAAGAGGGGUAGGGAGAUGAGUUUAUAGAAAUAAAUCGAUACUACAGCAAGAGUUAAACAAGGUAGUAGAGCUAUUACAAAGGCUUGAGUGAGGGCUUAUCCCGAAAGGGAUGAAGGCUUGGGCUGACUACAGCUUCGUUUGAAAACAAAUAUGGCUUUUAAGCAGAGUUUGUGCUUGUAUUUGUUUGUUUGUUUGAGUGUCCCUAACUCUGAUUUCUCUUUCUUCUUUUAUAGACAUUUUGGCUUGGCCUCCUGUAGCAGUAAUCUUGCCCGAAUGCGGUUUGAAGGAUAAUGACUCAUCAUCUAUUUUACUUGUACUGCCACUGUAAAGUACUUUUUGGCUGAUUAGUUGGCUGGUCUAUACCACUUGGUCUUUGGGUAGGUAAGCAAGUGGUGCAAAUGGUCUACACCUAGUCGGGAAAGCCUUUCUCUGCCUUCUGGGCUUGGGAUGGACUUCGGGCCUCUCUCCUCUUUUUGGGCCAACUCCCUUUUCGUGGCUAAAGUUUAAGUUUUAACCCAAACAGAUUUAACUUGGCGAGUUCGAGCAAAUAGGCGUUGGGCCAUAUUAGACACAGAACUUGCACAUUGAACACUGAGAGCCAAAGAAUCUUUAACAGCCAACUCAUCAGACCGUUUGGAAAGUAAUCUGUUAUCUUUAGGAGUGAGAAGGUUCCUGGCCACCAUCGCAGCAAUCAUAUCAUUCUUCAUCACAGAGUCCCCAACGGUAAGAGGACCAGUAGGGGAUAAGAAGGAUGUACGCCAUAUGUUGUCUUGAAAAGGCAUGGCUGCCUCUUCACCAAAGUUCAAGUCAAAACGAUGAUCGGAUGGGCCAGACAUUCUCAGAAAUGAUGAAGGAGAAAUGAGGUGCAAUAAAUCUCUUAAGUACAAAAAUAAAGGGAAAAUUCCUACAAGCAAUAACUAUCUGAAUGUACUUAUUGCACACAAUUGGUGCCUUUAUAAAAGAAAGGGUAACAGGGUCGUUGGUUCAAAAAUUGAAGAGGCACCACUCUCCAUACGCAACAUCAGCUCCUCAGGUACCACAGAUAACUUUGCCAAAGAUCUUUGACAAAGUUUAGACAGACUCCCAAUAGGAUUACACGCUCAAAAAUCGAAGAGGCAUCACCCUCCGAAUCUCAAGAGCCAGACUCCCAACAGGAUUACUUUCUUAAAAAUCGAAGAGAUACUGUUCUCCGAAUCUCAAGAGUCAAACUCCCAACAGGAUUGCUUUCUCAAAAAUCGAAGAGGCACCGCUCUCUUAAUCUCGAGAGCCAGACUCCCAAUAGGAUUAUGUGCUCAAAAAUCGAAGAGGUACCGCCCUUCAAAUCUCGAGAGCCAGACUCCCAACAUGAUUACUUUCUCAAAAAUCGAAGAGAUACUGCUCUCAGAAUCUCAAGAGUCAGACUCCCAACAUGAUUGCUUUCUCAAAAAUCGAAGAGGCACUGUUCUCUGAAUCUCGAGAGUCAGAUCCUCGACAGGAUUGCUUGUUCGAAAACCGAAGAAGCACCGCUCUCCGGACUUCGAGAGCCAAAUUUCCUUGGAUAAAGCUUGUCUGCAAUCUUCACACGCAACAUCAGCUUUCCAGAUACCACAGAUCACUUUUUCAAAGUGCUCUGACAAAGUUAAAACACGUGAAGCUUGCAGCUCCCACUACAUUAUUAUGACCAAGAAGGGUAAAGGAAUAACACUACUACUUGUUGUUAGGGAGACUCCUGUAUAUGUCGACCUCCAUCCUCCACAACCAGGCAGACCUGCAAAUAAAAAAAAUGCUCAACUUUUCUUCACAUCCGAGAGAACACUCUCAACAGAGUCUCUCGAAAUACUCAGCUUAUUUUCCUCCCGAUAAUACCUCUGCAAAUAAGCCACACCAAAGCAAGAGUAUCUCAUAUCAUCAGGGUUAAAAGUAAGAGUAUCCCAUAUCAUGCUUUUUCCCUGUCUUUUCAUUUGGCCUUGUUUUUACCUGUAAGACAAGGAGAAAGAGAGCAAUCAGUAAGCACUUGGAAUCAAGCUUCUAGUCAGGAACUGACUGCCUGGAACCCCUUGCCUGAUUACUUACCUAGCAUUGCUCUCGAGUACUUAUCUUCAACAUCUUAUGCUUUCAGAGAAGAUACCACAUCUACCUGAGGAACAUAUAGGGAAAGUGAGAAUGAUACAAAGAAGCAUGUGGAGACAAGCGUAACAGAACAUGUGUCGAUACAUCCACUACUUUUCCAACAGCAAUUGUAUCACAUAUCAUCAAGGUCGAACGUACUCUAGAUUUGAUGGACUUGUUUUGACCCUCAAAUUCUUGAGUCGGCCUUAUACUCUAGAGGAAACCAGAAAACCCUCCAGCCCAGUUCAAGAAUAAGCCUGUGGAAAGUUACUUCUUCAAAAGCAAAAGUAUCUCAUAUCAUCUCUUAUCCAUUUGCUUCUCCUUAUCAUUGUUGUUGUUUACGACAUAAGGAGAAGGAGAACAAUCAACCGCAAGCCGAAGUCAAACCUCCGAUCCAGAUUGCUUGCUUGGAAGUUUGAUUGCUUACCUUGUCUGUUACCUCCUUCGGUAAAUAUCCUAGCUCGACGACUUGGGAGACUCCUACUAUAGGGUUUGUAUAGCACUUGACCAAGCCCGAAACUACAAGUAAGUUUCAAGUGAAAUUGAUACAUUACCUUGUGCAUCUUCAUCGGUUAAGAUACCACCCCUAGAUGGAGGAAAAGUAUUUCCAGAAAAGAUGUCACAUCUACAUAUGAGACAGAUAAGACCACACUUCAGUACUUAGAAGUUUCAUGAUUACUCAAUGGCUUGGAUCUUGCAAGUCCCCAACCGAGAAGCUUUCCUCACUCGGGAACUUAGAGGAGCACUGUUUGUACUAUACUUGACCAAUCCCGAAACUACUGAGCAUCGGUCAACGUUAUACCGUCAAGGAGAUGUCACAUCUACAUAUAAGAUAUAUAAGACCACACUUCGGUACUUAGAAGUUUCAUGAUUACUCAAUGGCUUGGAUUUUGCAAGUCCCCAACCGAGAAGCUUCCCUCACUCGGGAACUUAGAGGAGCACUAUUUGUACCAUACUUGACCAAUCCUGAAACUACUGAGCACCGGUUAACGUUAUACCGUCAAGGACCCAGAAGAGUUUCUCUCCAACCAGGAGGCCAAUCAUAGCGCGACACGUGUUGACAUCAGAAGCCAAUCAUAGCGUGACACAUGUCAACAUCAGAAGCCAAUCACAACACGACACAUGUCAAUGUCAGAAUGAAACUAGAAACUCUCUUCUAUAAAUAGAGAUCAUUCUCUCACAAUAUUUCCUAAUGUCAUUUGUAUUAAAUCAUUCACUAGUACUCACUAAAGGAAAGCUUGAACCUAUGUACUUGUGUAAACCCUUCACAAUUAAUGAGAACUCAUCAACUCCGUGGACGUAGCAAAUCUGGGUAAACCACGUACAUCUUGUGUUUACUUUCUUGUCCCUAUCUAUUUACAUACUUAUCCACACUAGUGACCGAAGCAAUCUAGCGAAUGUCAUAAACUUAACACUUUUUGUUGUACCAAAGUCUUCACUGAUUUUGUGCAUCAACAAGUUUCAUAAACCAUUUUUCCUCUCAUUCUGAUUACGAAUUAGUAAACCGAGUCAUUAUAGUGGCUUGAAGUAAGGGAGUCAAACUCUCAAUUAAAUACUAAUUGGAUUUGACAUGUAUUAGUGAGGUAUUUUUAUUGAAUUAGGCCAACAGAUGCAUAAGGUCUCUGUUAAGCAACACAGCACGUUAGAUAUUCUCUUGCUUCCCAACCCAGAUAAUCGGUCAACAUCGACAAGAUUGAAGAAUCCUGCCCCAACAUAAUGGGCUUUCUAAGAGGUUAACAAGAAUCCAAAGAAUAAAUGGGCCCUAUUAAAGUUAUGAAGAAUUUGCCCCCUCCAGAAUGGGCUUUCUAAGAGGUUCACACGAAUCUAAAGAAUAAAUGGGCUUUACGAGGUCCACAAUACUCCAAAGAACAAAUGGACCUUUUUAAAAUAAUGAAGAAUCUUACCCCCACCACAAUGGGCUUUCUAAGAGGUCACAAGAAUGCAAAGAUAAGUGGACCCUAAUAUAGGUGAACUAAUCUUGGAUCAAAUAACAUGUCUCAUCAUUUGUACAAAUUAAUUACCGAUAUAUAAUUUUCUUUUACCGAUUAGCACAUUAUUUUUGUAGGUGAAUUAUUUUGAAUGUAUUAUAAUUUUAUUCUCAAAUAAUUGACCUAUAUUUUUAUGAAAAAUAAGGUAAACUAACUUUGAAUCAAAUUUCAAAUCAAAUAACAUUUCUUGUUUUGUAGGUAAAUUAUUUUGCAUUAAUUUUACAUAUAUUAGGCAUUUUUAUAUAAAUAUGUGUGUGUAAAACAAUUAACCUACAUUUAUUUGAAACACAUAUAUUUCCGUGACAUUAAUUAAACAUGUAUUAUUACAUAUAUUAGGCAUUUAUUAUUAUUAUUAUUAUUAUUAUUAUUAUUAUUAUUAUUAUGCCAUAAAUAUAUAACAUUAAUGUUUUUUCCUUUUAUAAAAUCAUUAGUUCCUCCAGUACAUGUACAAUCAGACAUCGAUCCCCCGGCACCCCGUCAUUCCGUGACCAGAUUUGGAAGACAAAUGUCCCGUUGACCGCCGCAUGUACCAAUGCGCAAACUUGUCAAGAAAGCUUUGAUAUUGUGAAGGACGGGCCUCUCAAGACCGAAGUGUCCAAUCGAGUGGAUGAUUUGAGUAAGCUUGCGGGCAAUGCACUUUCGCUCCUUGUUAAAAUUGGAUAGAGGGCUGCGCCCUGAUCACAAUGCGCUUUCACUCCUCAUUCCAUACAAUUAUUGUCGUAAUUUUGAACUCCUUUGCAUCCCCUCAAUAACAAUAUUUAAAAAAUAAAAAAUAAAUCAUAUUUUACAGUAUGUUAAGGAUUACAAUUUUACCUAUAUGGAGAAGAUUUGAAUAUGAAAAUUUGUAGAUACGAAUACAGAGAAACCGAAAAUUCCAACUAGAUUUUGGAUACCCUUAUGGGACAUGGUUUUUAAUGUCGGACAAGGCUUUCUAUAGUUAAGUGAAAUGUACAAACUACAGUUAAGGUAUCCACAAAAAAAUGAGGGAAAGGACGUUAACGCACCGUUGCCGCCCUUCACGACCGCGUCAUAUUGUUCAACGAAGCCAUUGACUCCUUCCGCGAUGCGCUCGUGUUUAUGGACCAGCUGGGCACCCCGUCCUUUCAUGAAAAGAUUAGGGAUACGAAUCUCCAGAUGAAUUGUGAAGAAGACUUAGAGCCCGUGGCGGAAUGGCCUCUCAAGACGAAGUGUCCAAUCGGGUGGAGGGUGUGACCAAGGUUACGGGCAUUUGUGGUGAGACCGCCACCUUUACACACUUGGGUUUGGCCACUAAGGAGGCCUGAAAAUGAGCAAUUAUUAUGGGUUGAGCAUGCCCAUAUAAAGAAGAGAGGCAACCCAAUAGACUAGAGGGGUUGAAUUUUGGAUCAUUUCCUUUUCUCCUUAAAUUGGUUAGGAGCCCUUGAGCACUCAUGGUUGAAUGUAUUGUAACCCAACAUAUAUAUAUAUAUAUAUAUAUUACAAAUUUUCAAUUGAAGCGGUCCAUUUCUGGGUAAACCACUUAAAAUUUAUUUCGUUAAAAUGUUAUGCAUAUUAUUGUCCACAAUAAUUGAUUAUUCAAAUCUUUUGGUUAGUCUCAUCAACUUUCAGCGUUAACAUGACCCAUACCAAAAUUCACGUUUUCAUAACUCAUAAGAGAUUCCUUUUCACGUGUGAACUAUAUUUUUGUAUAUAAAUUUGGGUACUUUUGAAAUGCAACAUCUAUCAAUGUUGUUAUACGAGAGGUAAAAUGCCUCUAUUAGUUGAUCUUACUAAAACCCUAAUUAGUGACUGGUGGCCUCAUUUCAGUGAUUAAAGCCAUACUGGGUUGGAAAUAGGAAUAUUUUGAUGGACGCAACCACGGGUGUUCAAAUUCCAAUCAACUUUGAUCAAAGAAAAUAAAUUAAUACAACUGUAGGCCAAUUAGUGGUCAAUAAAAUAGUGAUACACUUACCAUUUAUUUAUACUAUCUCUCAAAUAGAGAUAGAGUUCACCAACACAUAUGGGUCUCAUAUUCAUUAGAGAGAUGAUACAAGUAGAUAGUAAGAAUAAUAUUUUUAUAAUCAAUACUGUUAGACGUAUCAAGAUUUAUAAAUUUCAAGGAAAAGAAGAGGGACCUCAAGACCAUGCUCAACUUGGCAUUUUACAUUCCAUCCUCGAAAUAAUUUAUGGCGUGUUUACUAAUUUGUAAUCAGAUUGAAGGGAAUUGAAUUGAGAAGGAAUCGGAUUGAGAAGAAAUUAGAUUGAGGAGGAAACAGAAUUAGAUUCAUGUUAAUGUUGUUUACUAUACUAGCUGGAAUCGGAGUAAAAAUGAUAUUGAUUUCAUAUAACUUGUUUACUAGUUCACCUGAAUCGGAAUUAAAACUAGCUUGAUUACUAAACUACCCUUGUGUAACAUAAUUUUUUUCAUGCUAGUUAAUGAAAUUUAAUUUUAUAUCAUAUUAAUAAAUUUCAUCACGUAAGGUUUUGUGUUAAUAAAAAGUAUAGUUAUUUAAUAAAAAUUAAAAAUAUUAUACCAUCCUUAUCCCCCAUUUUGCCCAGAUGCAUCCUCAUCCAUUCCCACCCCUUUGUUAUUUGAUAAGAAACUCUUUCUUCUUCCCGAUCUUCAUCAUCCUCAUUCCACCCUUUGCCCAGAUGCAUCCUUAACUUUUUCUUUCCCAACUAUCCUCUCACUUGUUUCAGAUGCAUAGACCACACGCCUUCCCCUUUCAUUAUGAUCACUUCUCUUUCUCAUCUUUACUUUUCCAACAGCCCUCCCGCUUGCCCAGAUGCAUAAACCUUCACGACGCCUCCUAUCAUCCUCAAUCAAUUAUCGUUGUCGUCAAUAGGUUCUGCAAGCAACCAAGAGAACUGGGUCCGUUGGCUUGAGCCCUAAGCCUGAGUCCUCCAAUGGAAAUUGGUGGGAUUGGAGAAGAUGGAUUUAGUGUCUGCCUGCUGGUGGUGAAGUUGUUGAUUAUUUUGUAAUAAGCAAAAUUAUAGGAGGGCAAUCUAGGAAGAAAAGUUGUAUUCCGGAUGGCCUCCAAUAUCCGGAACUCAAAUACUAGCUUAAUCUAGAGAAUCCCACUCCGCCAAUUUCAAGAGUCCAAUUCUGGAAUUGGUGCGGGUCCCACACGGAACCUGAUUCCUGCCCAACUAGUAAACACAUGAAUCCAUCGAAGAGCAUGCAAUUCCAUUACCGUCCCCUCCAUUCCUCUUUAGUAAACACGCCAUUAGUGUAAUCUCACAUCCACCCAUCCAUCUUUCAUCAUUUGGUUAUUCGUUCAAAGUCUUAUCCCUAAGAAACAGAAAGAACCUAGAUCGAGAACAAGUUCCUUGCUCACUCACACAUCGUUUGAUUAAAAUCAAAUACAAGAGCACAACACAAUAGCUUUCACAAUAUUUCUAUGUCAGCUAAUGUAGGCCAAUGACAAGCCCAGUGUACCAAACUUUUUGCUAAGAGUUUUAUAAAGUAGAAAUUAUGUGGUAUAUCAAAAGGUGGUCUAGAGUCUACUUCCCGAGAAAGUUUUCAAUGUUGAAAACACGGUUCGAUACACCAAGUGUCAUAAUACAAUUGAUUGAAAUUUUUUAUUUUCAAAUAUUCAACCACAUAUAUUAUGAUACUUGGUAUAUCCAACCGUAUUCUCAGCACACUAAAAAAUUUCUCUUACUUCACAUAUGGUGUACACCUAAUAAACUUCUAAACGAUGAGAAUCCAUCCAAUCGAAAUCAAAGGCCAAAGCUUCACAGAGUCUCUUGGUGCAUUUGCGUGUGGUCCUCCUUGAAAAUUGGACUCUUCCUAAUUAAAUAUCCGGCACAACGUUUACAUCUCCAUUAUUUGGCCCUCCUUGGUACGUGUUCAACUUUCGAAUCAUUACUGACACAAAUUACUAAGUUGCUUUGGAUCGAUUAGUUAUUUAACGGCACAAGAGUAAUACAAAGUACGUACAAGUGAGGGAAUGUCCAAAAGAUCAAUCUUAUACUUUUUAAAAUGAAAUCGAGGAAAUUAAACUGCUUUAAGUCAGAAAUUAUGCUGAUUGGUCUUAAUUUAUAACAAAAUCUCAACAGUAAUUUGCCGUAAGAUUUUGAUUUAAGCGAUAUUAUUGCUUUAAGCUCACUAAAAACUCAUGAAAGAGUUUGAACACGAAACACUGUUAGUUAUAGAAAACAGCCUUAUCCACCAAAUCAAUUCAGUAGUAUAAUUUCUAUGGCCAAAGUGGUAAAACAUUCGUCUUCCAUCCCUUUCUUUAUAUUCAGCUGAUCAUACAAGGACAAACUACAAAGAAUCAUGACUCCGAGUCAAUUGUCUGCAUUUUUAGUCUUCCACCAUCUUAUGUUGUAGCCUCAAAUGGUCGCUCCCAACUGGCAUAUAGAGACACCACCAUGCAUAAAGUCUACAGAACACCUUUAUCCCCGAAAGAACCGCACGUACAUCACGUUUGCAGUCCUACAUGGUAGGGGAAGUCAACAAGAGGAACUUUAAAUAUGAUUACGCUACUACUUUAAUUAAUAGCAAAGUUUUUUUUGUAGUAAAACUUCACAUCUGACGGAUUGGGCAGAUGGUAAAGUUGAAAACAUUAUGACCUCGUUUAGCAGCUCGGACUGUACUAACUAUUUCAGUCGGAUAAGAUAAUUUGUCAUCGGAUAGUACUGACUAUUUAAUUGGGCGUUUGGUGCAGUACCGGAUAAAAAACUCAAUUCAUCAAAGAUUAUCAUGUUUAUUUACUUCCUCAAAAGGAGAUUGAAUAACAUUUAUGGCACUGAGUUUCACAAUUUAAAACUAGCAAGAGAGAUGGAAAAAGAGCCAGCUUGAUUUUGUUUUCAGCGACCCGACUAAUUAAUACCGACGAUUUUGAGUGUAUAAGUUAUCCGGCGUACGUCGUAUAAAAUAGGUUGGACCGUAUAAAUAAUCCGGUGCUAAUUUAAUACCGAAUGGCACCAAACACCGGAUAGUAUUUGUUUAUACCAUACUUAGGGCCUCCGUAUUUAGAUCUCGUACAAAUACUCAUGGGACUUAAAUGUAAUUAUGUAAUAAAGGAAGGGGCAAAUAUAUAAUAAGUGAGGAGCCAUUAUUCUAUAAAAGAACUCCUCACCCUUACAAUUAGGGGGGCCAUUUCCUAAGCCUCUCCUAUCUAGAACAAAGCUCUCACACUCUCUCCCUCACAAAUACUCUCAGAGAAAUACAAUCAGUGUGGACGUAGCCCAAACCUUGGGGUGAACCACGAUACCUCUUGUGUUAUUUACAUUUCAUGUAGAUUCACGGUCGGAUUUAUGUUGUUCCAAGACCUCCGGUUUUGUGCAUCAACAUUUGGCGCCGUCUGUGGGAAUUGACACAAAAAACUAUGUCGGUUCUUUUUCAUUUUUUCACCUCCACCGUGAAUCUGCAAAAAACCCAAGAUCCAAAGCCAAACCUAGAACCUCCCUUCUUGGGGCUUUUACCAGAAAACCACAGUUUAUUCUCUCUCUAUCUCUCCUUUUCUUUUGCCGCAAAGGAAGAAAGAUUCGUCCUGGAGGAAUGGCUACUAUCAGAAACACAAGAUGCAUCCUUAUUAAACCUAUCAACCAAGGUUCCUUCCAGUCGAUGGCGUGGAAAAAGCCCAAGAAAGUGUGGACAGCAGGCGCCCCUCCACUGCCAUUUGAUCCAGGCGCUCCUCCACUGCCGACCGAACCUGCUCUAUCUCUCUUUCUCUCUUUCUCUCUCUUUUUCUCUCUCUAAAAUCUCAGAACACCUCCCACAAAGUCAUCAUCCUCGCCUCAAAAGCCCAUGGCCCUGAGACCAAACAUAACAGGCCUGACCCGCAACGGCUCUGCCUCAGGAUCCCUCAUAAACUCAGCCGUGGACUCCGUCAUGGGAGCCGCCGCUGACCGUAAAUUCUCAUCCCUUCAACUGCAGCACCUACGAGGCCACUACUUCUCCGGAGACAGUAGCGGCGACUCUCCCUCCUUCACCAGCUCCGAGUCCAGCUUCGAAGUCAACUCAUCCAACGGCAGCCACAGGUACACCAACAAGCCAUUGCUGCAAUUUAUAAAGGACAUCAUUAAUAUUGGCAGUGGCUGGUCGUGAUCUGCAGGGAGGGCAGAUGAUUCCAUUUGACGGCGACGUUUCUGCCUUUCUCUGGCCUUGUGAUUUUGGAACCAAGCCAUUGCUACAAACCUGCAUCAAACCCGCUCUGGCAAGAAAUCUCAAACCCCCUCUUCAAACCCACAUCACCGUCAUCACUGCCACCAUUGGAAGAGCAAAGGUAGAGCAAAACAUUGUAAUGGUGUAGACUAAGCGGGACCCCAUUGCUCCUGGCCUCGUCGUAAAGGCUCAGAGCUUGGAGCAGCUGGCUGUGCCUGGAGCACAUGUCUAGCUUAUGCCUAAGGACCCUUUCCGGCAAUCCCGCCGUGGUUUCUUCUUGGCUUUGUUGGAGACUGCCGGAGACAAUGGCAACGGCGAGUUAUUGGAGAAAGCCAGAGUCUUUUGUCCAUGGAGAAACUGCCGGUGGAAUUCAGGGUCGGUUUAGGUUUCGGGUAGAUUAAGACCGCCUUGUUGGAAAUACCGUUGACAAGGCGGACAACCAUACUAGUGACUGUCAGAUCUCCACAUCGAUGCUGCCACACUCUCUCUCUCCAUCCUUUGAGCUGUUCUUUCUCUCUUAUUAGACACCCUUCUGGAAAAGUCUUGGGUUUUCAGCUUUCCAACUGAAAAAUGAAGAAGCAUGAAUGGAAAUGUCCUUCAAUCCGAAAGUGAAAGGAGAAAAGAAAAGGCAAAAGCAGAGACAGAGAUAGAGAGAGAGGCGCAGUGCAAAGAGAAAAUGAAAGCAAAAGCAAGGAGUAGGGAGAUCAAGAAAAGCUUACUAUUAUUAAUUCUAUAACGAUUCAUUUUGUUUGCCAGGUGAAAAGACUGAUAGAGUGGUGGAAAAGAAAAAGCAAAACAGAAAACAAAAGCAAAAGCAAAAGCAACGCACCAACGAUCUGCAACUGUCGAAGCUUUUGUGUCGAAACCUUUGUUUUUGUAUGAUAUAAUUUAUUUUUCUUAUCUUUCGGAGACAUCUGUAUAAAUCUCGUCAGAGGGUAAUAACAAUAAUAAUAAUAAUAAUAAUAAUAAAAUAAAAAACGACAAAGCCCAAAAUAACUCCAACCAGGCGAUAAAAAAAGUACGCGCAGUACUUCACAAUUAUUUGACAACCUGCCGCUAUUACCACCAACCAGGUGAUCAAAAGUACGCCCAGUACUCCAAAAUUAUUCGGCAACCUGCCGCUAUUACCACCAACCAGGUGAUCAAAAGUACGCCCAAUACUCCAAAUUUAUUCAGCAGCAUGCUGUCAAUCAGGUGAUCAAAAGUACGCCCAGUACGUCAAAGUUAUACAUGAGCACUACUCAUGUCAAUCAUACAUAGACAUACAUGAGCAUUACUCAUGUCAAUCAUACAUAAACAUUCAUGAACAUCACUCAUAUCAAUCAUAUAUAAACAUUCAUGAGCAUCACUCAUGUUAAUAGCUUCAAAAGCUUCAUUUACAAAAGCUUUAUUUACAGAGCUCUAGCUUCAAAAACUUCAUUUACAAAAGCUCUAGCUUCAAAAGCUCCUUUUACAGAGCUCUAGCUUCAAAAGCUUCAUUUACAAAAACUCUAGUUUCAAAAGCUUCAUCUACAGAGCUCUAGCUUCAAAAGCUUCAUUUACAGAGCUCCAGCUUUAAAGCUUCACUUGCAAAGCUUCACUUGCAAAGCUUCAUCUACAAAGCUUCAAUGUAGGGUAUACAAAUACCGCCUCAGAACAACCGCCACUUCGGCCCAUACAUGGAUUCAAUUUGAAGUCUCCAGCCAACAUACUCUAUUGACCGAAGACUUGGGGGACUACAUUAUACACCAUAUGUUGGGCCUCAACUGGGCCUCAUGAAAAAUACUUAGGGGACUCUAGCUCAUUGUUCAUGUAUUGAGGAGCGAGCCCAUAUUUUAUAAAAGAGCCUCCCUCACUAUCAUCAGAGCAGCAUCUCUCUAGCCCAUUAUUCAUGUAUUGAGGAGCGAGCCCUUAUUCUAUAAAAGGGACUCCCUCACCAUCAUUAGAAAGCAUCGCCGCCCAUUGAGCAACCGCCUUGCCGCGAACAUCAACUCUAGCCCAUUAUUCAUGUAUUGAGGAGCGAGCCCUUAUUCUAUAAAAUGGACUCUCACCAUCAUUAGAGAGCAUCACCGCCUACUGAGCAACCGUCUCGCCGCAAACAUCAACUCUAGCCCAUCAUUCAUGUAUUGAGGAGCAAGUCCUUAUUCUAUAAAAGGGACUCCCUCACCUUCAACGCCACAAGCCGAACCAACCAAGGCAACAUAAGCCACAAACCAAGCAGCCUCGCAACGUGUACUACUUCUAGUUGAGCAUCAUUUCAGAUUAAGCACCGCCUCAUACCGAGCAUCAGUUCAAGACAACAUCUAGUUACUUCGGCCCACACAUGGACUGAAUUUCAAGUCUCCAACCAAAAGACUCUCUUGACUAAAGACUUAGGGGACUACUAUUUAUACCAUACUUAGGGUCUCCGUAUUUAGAUCUCGUACAAAUACUCGGAGGACUUAUAUGUAAUUAUGUAAUAAAGGAAGGGGCAAAUAUGUAAUAAGUGAGGAGCCAUUAUUCUAUAAAAGGACUCCUCACCCUCACAAUUAGGGGAGGCCAUUUCCUAAGCCUCUCCUAUCUAGAGCAAAGCUCUCACACUCUCUCCCUCACAAAUUCUAUCAGAGAAAUACAAUCAGUGUGGACGUAGCCCAAACCUUGGGGUGAACCACGAUACCUCUUGUAUUAUUUACAUUUCAUGCAGAUUCACGGUCGGAUUUACGUUGUUCUAAGACCUCCGGUUUUGUGCAUCAACAAUAUUAAAUAGUACUAUCCGGUGUGUUAUCCAGCAUGCCAAACACGCCCUAUAGGUGUCAUUAGAGUGAGGUCCCACGAUCAAAAAAUCCAACAUGGUAUUAGAGUUCACAGUUACGGGCCCAUGCAAGCUAAAGGCUUGUCACCAGGAAGUGUGGGCUUGGAAACAAGUUUGGACUUUUAACAUAUAGCUGGCCUCUGAAUUCUUAAGAGACACUUAUUGAAAAGACUGAUCUGGAUUCCAUUGGAGCCGACCUCUGAGUUUCAAUUGCCGAUGUGUGGAUCUCCAUGUGUCGAAAUGGGAUUACACGUGAGGGGCCGUGUAGUGGUUUACACGUGAGGGGGCAUGUUGGCAGUCCCACACCGGUGGGGGAAGUCAACAAGGCUGGCUUUAAAUAUGAUUGUCCAACUCUAACUAAUACAAAUGCCUUUUGUGGAAAAACCCCACACAUGAUGGAUUAGGCAGGUGGUAAAAUUGGAGACAGUAUCGAUGUAAUUAGAGAGAGACCUAUCGGGCCCGUCGAUCUAAAAAUUUUCACCGCACCACUCACGUAAGCCCUACUAAGGCAAGUUGUGGUCUAUAAAAAAGUCCCCAUUGGUCCUCUGAAGAUCACAGAACAAGGUUCAAACCAUGAAGUUCAAUGCAUAUUUUCUUGUGUUCUUUUCUCUUCUAUUCAUGCUGCAGUAUAGUUCCUGUAGAAUCACUGCACCAUGCAGUCAACCCCAUACCCUCAAGUGUGUCGCCAUUACAUUAACACUAACCUCUUAUCAAACCUAGAUCGUCACCAAAGGUUUGCAUUUCGUGACUUGGUACUUAAAGUUUCCAUGGACCAAGCCAUCGAAGCUCAUCAACUUGUCUUGUCCUUGAACUUGAACUCAUUGGACGCUGACCAUACUCGAGCCAAGGGGGCCUGGAAUGACUGCUUGGAGCUCUACGAGGACACCGUUGACAAGCUCAACCGUUCCAUCGGCUCCACCAAUGCCCUUGAUGUCAAUACAUGGUUGAGUGCAUCGCUUACUAAUCAACAGACAUGCCAAAAUGGUUUCAAAAACCUCAACAUUCCUAGUUCUCAUUUGCAAUCUUUCCCAAACUACGUCACGCUCUCAACCAACUUGUCCAAGCUGCUUAGCAACUCACUAUCAAUACACAAGGUCUCAACUUCUUCAUCAGCUCUACAUUUUAGCAAACAAGUUCGUGGAAGACGACGGCGUUUGCUUUCGGAUGAUGGGUUCCCAGAAUGGGUUUCAGCCGCUGAUCGAAAGCUGCUCCAAUCGAUAAGUAGCGGACCAAACGCUGAUAUGGUAGUAGCACAAGACGGGUCCGGGAAUUACAAGUCAAUUUCUGAAGCUGUGGAUGCUGCGUACAAGCUACAGGGUGGGGCGACUAAAAGGUUUGUCAUACACGUGAAGGCAGGAGUUUACAGAGAAAAUAUCGAGAUUAAGAAGACAAUGAAGAACAUCAUGUUCAUUGGAGAUGGUAUUGAUGCAACGAUUGUCACAGGGAAUGAAAAUGUCCAAGAUGGUUCAACUACAUAUCGCUCUGCCACAUUUGGUAAGUUUGAGUUGAAGCAAUAAUAAACUUUGAAUCAGUUUAAGGGAUAUUUGGACUCAACAAACCCCAUCAUCUUGAGUUAAUUUUGAAACUUUAGGUGGCGUCACACUUAGAUACUAAUUGAUUGAAGACCAAUUUAAUUAACUAAGUCAUGAUCAAUUUGAAAGUCCUAGAGAGACCAACUAUUUAAACUACAUGAUGCGGUUAUUGAUGAUGAAAUUAUUAUUUAAGUGUUUUUAAAAUGCUUAUUGUUUACUAGUAACACGUCAUAUUGUUUGUAAAUUAGUCUAUCAUGUUAUUCUUCACUUAAAUCAUGUUUUGUAAACCAUAUACAUGAUUAUUAAUAAUUGAAUUAUUAAGUGUUGAUUAACUUACUUAAUUUCUAUCAUUACUCUUACUCAAAUUAUAAAGCUAUUUACCAGAUCCUGCGUUUCCUUUUACUUUCUUUUUUUUUUGCCUUUUCUCGACAAGAUUUAAAUACUGAUAACCUAGCUAAUUACAUGCCACGUGAAUAGUUACAAGUUUUUGUCCUAGUAUACAUCUAAUGGUUCACAAAAUUAAUAAACUGUUCACUUAAAAUUCAGGGGCUACCGGCGAUGGCUUUAUUGCUCAAGACAUGACAUUCGAAAACACAGCCGGACCACAGAAAUACCAAGCCGUGGCACUCCGCUCCGGCUCCGACCAUUCAGUCUUCUAUCGUUGCAGCUUCAAGGGUUACCAAGACACGUUAUACGUGUAUUCCCAACGCCAAUUCUACCGCGAGUGCGACAUAUACGGCACGAUCGACUUCAUCUGCGGCGACGCCACGGUUGUGCUCCAAAAUUGCAACAUCUAUGCGAGGAAACCAAUGAGCAACCAAGUAAACACCGUGACAGCGCAGUCUAGGACCGACCCGAAUGAAAACACAGGCAUUGUUAUUCAUAAUUCGCGAAUCACGGCUGCACAAGAUUUGAGACCUGUACAAGGUUCGUUUAAGACGUACUUGGGUAGGCCGUGGAAAAAGUACUCUAGGACGGUAAUUAUGAAGAGUAAUCUUGAUGGGUUGAUCAAUCCUGCUGGUUGGUUUCCGUGGAUUGGAAGCUUUGCCCCCUCCACACUUUAUUACGGGGAGUACAUGAACUCCGGCGCUGGAGCUGGUACUGGAGGGAGGGUCAACUGGCCCGGUUAUCAUGUUAUAAGUAGUGCGGGGGAGGCCGGGAAGCUCACGGUUGGGAACUUUUUGGCCGGAGGUUCGUGGAUUCCGAGGACCGGAGUUCCAUAUACUGCUGGUCUAUGAUAAUGCAUGCAUGUGGUUGUGGAGAGAAGUUGUUUGACUUGUUAAGGAGGGACUUGUCACACUUGUAUAUUGUUGUGUGCGGAUAGUGACCUAAAGUGAAAAUCGUCACAUAGCUUGUUUUUAGCUUCCUUUUGCCAUUUAUCCCUCCUGUAAUGCAGUAAAUAUUUUGAAACUAUUACUUAAUGUUAUUACAUGGUGUUAUUAAUAGAUAACUCGUUUGAAAUUGCUUAUAAAAUAAGUAAAAGUACUUUUGAUGAAAAUAUUUUUAGACCUAAUCCUUGAUAAAUAUGUUGGUGAAUCCUGAAAAUGCAAUUCAAAUGCUUUUGGAACUCAAAAAUAUUUUUUCUAAAAACGUUUUCAAUCAUUUUAAAAACAACUACAAACAUGCCAUGAUAUAUUGUCACAUAAUGGUAUUAACAAUAUUGGGUCAACAAUGCCCUUCCUUUCAUCAAAAGAUUUGGAAGGCCAGCAUCCAGUUGAGCGCUGGGCAUACCGACGCCCGAGUUUGUCAAGAAAGCUUUGAGUUCGUGAACGAUGGGCCUAUCAAAACCGAAGUGUCUAAUCGAGUGGAAGAUUUGAUUAAGCUUGCGGGCAUUGGGCUUGAGCUCCUUGAUAAAGUUGAAAAAGGGAUAGUGCUCUGAUUAUAAUGCGCUUACGGUCGUUGGAAAAGUUGAAAUUGUCAAUUAGUGAGAUAAUUAAUAAAAAUAAAUUAAGGUCUAAAUACUUCAAAUCUUAACGUCGGUUUGUAUUUUCUUCCUUGAUUGUGUCGUCUUAUAAAAAGAUUAUAUAGUAGUAAGGAAGACAAUUUAAUCCUACAUAUCGGUUAAUCCUAUAUACAGGUGUUUGGGCCCAAAAUGUUGGUUUGGGCCGAGUUUUAUUCUCGGCCCGGAAGGUCUUACGAAAAGGUUAUUGUGGAUCGCCUAGUUCAUGGGCUUCCUAGCCUAGGUCGGCCAAGUCUUGUUGCGAGACGAGUAAUUGAAUCUUGGUACAAUAAGGAGUCUCGGCAAGAUAAAGAUAUUGAUAAUCCGGAAGUGAAUGCAGUUUGAUAAAGGAUUGGGUUCAAAGUCAUAAUAAAAAUAGGACUAGUCGAGAUAGUGUUUGAUUAGAAUAAGAAGUCCUAAUCCGAGUAGGGUUUUAACUCAGUCUAGAGCGGACCUGAUGCUAUAAAUAGAGGAAGAUGUGCAUCAUUCAUCUGGUCCUCCAAUUCAACACACAACUGCCCUGCGCAAAUUCUCUUAACAACCUUAAGAUUUUUUCUUUUCUUUUUCCGCCGACACACCUUCAGUUUGGAUAAACAGCACUGUAAAGGCAACUGGUGAUAUCUUCAGUUAGCAUAAAAAUCACUGUCGUCGUAGAAUCAGCCGAUCUCGCCGCAUCUUCAGUUGGCAUAAACAACACUGCGUUGAGGGCGGCUGGUUAUCAAUCCAAGGCUUGGUCGAAAAGGAUUUCCGAAUCCUUAUUGGUCGAGAUCAUCUUAUUAGCCUUCUCGGCAAAGUGAGGUGUUACAGUUUAUUGGGCUCGGCACAUUGCACGCCGAGUUAUUUUAUGAUUGGAUACUCUCAAGUGGGAUUUAGAGUUCGGCACUUCGACUGCCGAACCACAUUUACUGUUAAGACUUAUAUUCGCUUUGAGUAUUUGUGCCCUUACACUUUGGUGUCGAUUUGGCGUGAGUUUACUCUGACGAAUACCAUCACUUGGACCGAAUCCAACGACGACGAUUUGUGAACUUCGUAAGAAUAGUAGCCUUGUCUUCAGGUUUGAGAACCCAAGAGGCCGAGACGUGUUCCUUCCUCGGUCGCGAUCGCAAGACACAUAAGUCAGCCGCGCACCCAACGCAACAUCAACACAUUUUACUCCUCGUCCGAACUCGGCCAACGAGUUGGCACGCCCCGCAUUCAACCGAAAGACGUAGUUAGCUCAUAGAUUACUUGGCCUGCGCGCCACGUAGGCUUGGUAGUUUUUAGGGUCAACAACAGGUUAUAGUUUAAAUCCUAGUUUAUCGUCGGUUUGUAUUUUCUUGCUUGAUCGUGUUAUCUUACGUCAAAAAAAAUAAUCAUAUGUAUAUUCUUAUAAUGAAAAAUAAGAUUACUAAUACAUUAAAAUGAAACUAAAGCUUACGUAUAUUCUUAGAAUAAAAAAUAAGCAUAUUAUAUCCUUCGAUUUCAGAACAGUUUCAUGAACUAUUUUUCCUUUCAUUCUGAUUACGAAUUAGUAAAUGAGUCAUUAUAGUGGCUUGAAGUAGGGGAGUUAAACUCUCGAUUAAAUACUAAUUGGAUUUUACAUAUAUUAGUGAGGUAUUAUUAUUGAAUUGGGCCAACAGAAGCACAAGGCUUCUGUUAAGCAACACGACUCGUUAGAUAUUCUUUUGCUUCCAACCCAGAUGAUCGGUCAACAUCAACAAGAAUGAAGAAUCCUGCCCCAACACAAUGAACUUUCUAAGAGGUUAACAAGAAUCCAAAGAAUAAAUGGGCCCUAUUAAAGUUAUGAAGAAUUUGCUUUUAUAACAUUAAUGUUUUUUCCUUUUAUAAAAUCAUUAGUUCCUUCUUGUAAUACCACUGAAUGAAUUGUGUACCUUAAAUAUUCAAAAAAGAAUAUUUUAGGCAUCCCAAAAAUCUUAAAUAUUCAAAAAAGAAUAUUUUAGGCAUCCCAAAAAUGAGGAAAAUGAGGUUAACUCACAUUCACAAAGAUACUUGGACCAAUACUGAGUAAAUCAUGCUCGAAAUCAAUUAAUUAAUUAAUACUACACGAACGUAAACAAAAAAACUUUGUAAUAAACUAGAAUUAAAUAAACGAAAAUGCAUCAUAUGCUUAUUCUAAAUUAACUAUAUAUGGAAACAACUUUAAUUGGCUAGUCCAGAUUCGGUGUACAAAAAAUCCUAAUGUUUGUCCAAAAAAUCAUGAUGAAGUUCUUUCUUACUAUAUAAACCCCCUCCCCACACCACGACCAGCACAACUCCAGUACAUGUACAAGUACAACCAGACAUCGAUCCCUGGUAAUCAUGAACACCACCCAAUGAAUGACGACCCAGUUUCUCCUCUCCCUCCCCUUCCUCUUAUUCCUCUCCCGCCCAAUCCCCACUGCCGGAUCCCCAUUCACUGAAAAGGUACAACGCACCAAGGACGCUGUCAACAUCGGCCUAACCCAUGCCCAGGGCGAUCAUUCGUUUCCAGCAUACCCCCCCCCCCCCCCUCCAAUCCGACGUCCGCACUGCUAGGGCCCUUAAUUCUUGCGUUGAAUUGUUCCAGUAUGCUGUUGACUGCUUUCACAAUGCUCUUGCGUUUAUGGACCAGCUCGGUACCCCCGGUACCCCGUCAUUCCAUGACCAGAUUUGGAAGACAAAUGUCCAGUUGACCGCCGCAGGUACCAAUGCGCAAACUUGUCAAGAAAGCUUUGAUAUUGUGAAGGACGGGCCUCUCAAGACCGAAGUGUCCAAUCGAGUGGAUGAUUUGAGUAAGCUUGCGGGCAAUGCACUUUCGCUCCUUGUUAAAAUUGGAUAGAGGGCUGCGCCCUGAUCACAAUGCGCUUUCAUCUUCAUUCCAUAAAAUUAUUGUGGUAAUUUUGAACUCUUCUGCAUCUCCUUAAUAACAAUUUUUUUUUUUAAAAAAAAUCACCUUUUACAGUAUGUUAAAGAUUACAAUUUUACCUAAAUAAAGAAUAUUUGAAUAUAAAAAUUUAUAGAUACGAAUACAUGGAAACCGAAAAUUCCAACUAGAUUUUGGAUACCCUUAUGGGCGCUAACGGAGCCAAGGUGGGGGCAAUGGUAUUCCUUGACCCCAAUAACCUUGUGGCCAAAUUGAAAGGCCUAGUAUUAAAUUUGAGAUUGAAAAAUGUUGUGCAUAGUGUUGCAAAUGGAAGCAGCUAUUAUAUACAUAUACAUACAGCACGCAUGCAAUAAUCAAAUAUAAAACAAAAGGCAUCAUUGUUGCCCAUGAUGCAGCUGCCACGCCUAUGAUGUGCAUUUGCCACGUGCAAACCCUUGCUGACUAGGAUGUGGUAUCCACAUGCAACUGUCCAAACUGUCCAGAAUGUGCAUCCACAUGCUACAUUCCUGCUGUCCACUUUGUGCAAACACCUAGAGCCUUUUCGGUGCAGCUUGAGUGAUUUCUUUUCCUUUAACACCUAGAGCCUUUUCGGUGCCAACAGCCCCAAACAAGAAGAAGAAGGAGGAGCUGCUGCUCCAUUUGUUAGUCAUCACUCCAUCAUCGCCUCUUCUUCCCCUGCUAAAUCUUCCCACCACCGUGACUAGUAGUCUACUGCUACUCUUAUUCACUUUUCCCACAUUUUUCCUAUUUUAAUUUUAGCCUAUAAAAAAACAUCUAAUCUUAACCGAUUCACAUUUCAGCAUUUUCUCAGCGAUUUCCCAAAUUAGACUUUUGUUUUUGGGUGCUUCAUUUGUUUCCAAUUCAAUCUGUCAAAGGUACUUGUUGUUUCCCUUUCGGCCAUUAUUUUCUUUGUUUCAGGGGGCUUCAUUUGUAUCCAAUGCUCAUUCUUUUAUUUAGGCUUAAUUCACAUAAAUAAUACCGAAAUGAAGUGUGAUCUAUUACUCAAAGAAGGUGACAUUCUUGGUGUGGCCAGAAGGAUACUACCUGUUGUAAAUCUUGCCCUAUCAAAGACGAGAGCGCUUUUCUCAGGAGAGACAUCCAUGACCCUCAAGGUAACGACAAACAAAACAUUAAGGCAGUGUUUGAAUUCAGAAUUGCUUGCUUUGCGUGAUUAGUAAUGGAAGCUCAACUUUUGACAUCGUUGUCUUAAAUUCCUAGCUCCGCCACUACUUAUGGGACAUGGUUUUUAAAGUCAGACAAGGCCUUCUAUAGUUAAGUGAAAUGUACAAAUUAUAGUUAAGGCAUCCGAAAAAAAAAAAGAGGGAAAGGAGGUUAACGCACAGUUGCCGCCCUUCACGACUGCGUCAUAUUGUUCAACGAUGCCAUGGACUCCUUCCGCGAUGCGCUCGUGUUUAUGGACCAGCUGGACACCCCGUCCUUUCAUGAAAAGAUUAGGGAUACGAAUCUCCAGAUGACUUGUGAAGAAGACUUGGAGCCCGUGGCGGAAGGGCCUCCUCUCAAGACAAAGUGUCCAAUCGAGUGGAGGGUGUCACCAAGGUUACGGGCAUUUGUGGUGAGACCGCUACCUUUACACACUUGGGUUUGGCCACUAAGGAGGCCUGAAAAUGAGCAAUUAUUAUGGGUUGAGCAUGCCUAUAUAAAGAAGAGAGGCAACCCAAUAGACUAGAGGGGUUGAGUUUUGGAUCAUUUCCUUUUCUCCUUAAAUUGGUUAGGAGCCCUUGAGCACUCAUGGUUGAAUGUAUUGUACAUAUAUAUAUAUAGGAAUUGCUUAAGGGGAGGGAUCCCCAUUUUUUCAAAAAAAUGGGGACACGCUCCCCACCGUUGGAUUUGACUUAAAUGAAAUCCUGUGGUUGAGAUUCUAUAGCCUGUGUUUUAAUCUCAACCACACAAUUUCAUUAAAGUCAAUCUAACGGUGGGGAGCGUGUCCCCAUUUUUUUUGAAAAAAUGGGGAUCCCUCCCCUUAAGCUCCCUGUAUAUAUAUAUAUAUUACAGAUUUUCAAUUGAUGCAGUCCAUUUCUGGGUAAACCACUUUAAAUUUAUUUCGUUAAAAUAUCAUGCAUAUCAUUGUCCAUCAUAAUUGACUAUUCAAAUCUUUUGGUUAGCCUCAUCAACUUUCAACGUUAACAUGACCCAUGCCAAAAUUCAUGUUUUCAUAACUCAUAAGAGAUUCCUUUUCACGUGUGAACUUUAUUUUUGUAUAUAAAUUUGGGUACUUUUCAAAUGCAACAUCUAUCAAUGUUGUUAUACGAGAGGUAAAAUGCCUCUGUUAGUUGAUCUGACUAAAACCCUACCUAAUUAAUGGCUGAUGGCCUCAUUUCAGUGAUUAAACCCAUACCGGGUUGGAAAUAUUUUGAUGGACGCAACCACGGGUGUUCAAAUUCCAAUUAACUUUGAUUGAAGAAAAUAAAUUAAUACAACUGUAGGCCAGUUAAUGGUUAAUAAAAUAGUGUUACAUUUAUUGUAUCAUCUUUCAGAUAGAAGUAGAGUCCAUAAACACAUAUGGGUCUCAUAUUCAUUAGAAAAAUGAUACAAGUAAAUAGUAAAAGUAAUAUUUUUAUGAUCAAUACUGUUGAGACGUAUCAAGUUUUAUAAAUUUCAAGGAAAAGAAGAGGGACCUCAACACCAUGCACAACUUGGCAUUUUACAUUCCAUCCUAGAAAUAAUUGAGUGUAAUCUCACAUUCCACCCAUCCAUCUUUCAUCAUUUGAUUAUUCGUUCAAUGUCUUGUCCCCAUGAAAAAGAAAGAGCAUAGGUCGAGAACAGGUUCCUUGCUCACUCGCACAUCGUUUGAUUAAAAUCAAAUACAAGAGCACAACACAAAAGCUUUCACGAAUAUUUCUAUGUCGGCUAAUGUAGGCCACAUGAUGGCACUCCGCCACUCCCGCACUCUUAGCUAAAGAAGAAUCAAAAGUCCUCAACGGCUUCUUGAGAUGAAAAAAAGGGAGUCCACCGAAAACACUUGUCACAUCAUGGAUCAUUUACAUAUUAUAAUAUGGUGAAAAACAUGAUUAAUAUCCCGUUGUUGAGAGUAUAUUAAUAAAACCAAAUAUAUUAUAAUUUGAAUAGAAUAAUAAAUCAUUAAGUUACAAGCACACCAAAUUUUUUUUUUAUUGUGUAUACCAAGUUUUUUGAGUCGAGGGGCCAAUGACAAGCCGCGUGUACCAAAAUGUUUGCUAAGGGUUUUAUAAAGUAGAAAUUACGUGGUAUGUCAAAAGGUGGUCUAGAGUCUACUUCCUAAGAAAUUUUUCAAUGAUAGAAACACGGUUAGAUACACUGGGUGUCACAAUAUAAGUUGUUGAAAUUUUUUUUUUUCAAAUAUUCAACCACAUAUAUUAUGAUACUUGGUGUACCUAACAGUAUUUUUGGCACACUGAAAAUUCUCUUUUACUUCACAUAUGGUGUACACCUAAUAAACUCUUAGGCCUCGUUUGGCACGCCGUAUAAGAGCACCGGAUAGUAUUAAUAGUACGAAACAGAUGUUUGGUGAGCUUCGUAUUAAAUAAGCACCGGAUUAUUUAAUACGGGCCCACUCAUUUUAUACACCUCCCACCCGCUUAUUUAUCUCAACCAAAACCUCUGUAUAAUUUAGUCGGGUAGAGUGUCCAUCUCUCUCGCUCACUUCGUCCCCCUCUCUCUCGCUCACUUCGUCCCCCCAUUGCUCCGCCACUCCUUCCUUCCCCAAUAACACCGACCCCCGAACCUCCACAUCUCCUCCGCCGCUCCCAGCAACCCAACUCCUUCUUUCUGCAAAAUUCUUAGAACUCGAGCUGCAAAACGCUAACUUUUCGAAUUGGGUUUCUCUAGGAAUUGCAGAGAAUUAUAGGACUGGAGAUGUUUUAUGAGUUUUUAGCUUAAUUGCUCCCUGAUUUUGUUGAUGGAUUUAGGCGAUUUGGGGGUGGGACGGAGAGAUUUGGGACAACUUUGUGGCUGCUGGGUUCUUCCUGCAUUUGACAACUUUGUUUUUUUUCUAUUCUUUUUCUUUUCCAGUAAUCAUCAAACUGGGUUUGGGGGGUGCAGAGAGAUCUGCGAAAGAGAGAGAGGGAUGGAGUUUGGGGGGUGCAGAGAGAUCUGCGAAAAAAAAAGAUGAUUUCACUUUUUUUUUUAAUUUUAUUUUAAGUUUGAUUUCUCUUAUCCGGUAUAAUACCAAACAUAGUAUAAAUAAUACGAUUAUUAAUCCAAUACUGCACCAAACGUCCGAUUAAUUUAGUCAGUACUAUCCGAUGACUAUUUAUCCUAUCCAAUAGAAAUAGUCAGUACAGUCCGAGCUGCCAAACGAGGUCUAAAAGAUGAGAAUCCAUCCAAUCGAAAUCAAGGGCCAAAGCUCCACAGGGUCUCUUGGUGCAUUUGCUUGUGGUCCUCCUUGAAAAUUGGACUAGGGUUUUGACAAAGUCUUCCUAUCUAAAUAUCCGACACAACGUUUACAUCUCCAUUAUUUGGCCCUCCUUGGUACGUGUUCAACUUUCGAAUAAUGACACAAAUUACUAUCUAAAUAUCCGACACAACGUUUACAUCUCCAUUAUUUGGCCCUCCUUGGUACGUGUUCAACUUUCGAAUAAUGACACAAAUUACUAAAGUUCCUUUGGAUUGAUUGGUUAUGUAACGGCACAAGAGUACUACAAAGUACAAAGUACGUACGAGUGAGGAAAUGUCCAAAAGAUGAAUAAUUUACAUAUUACAAUAUGGUGAAAAACAUGAUUAAUAUCCCGUUGUUGAGGGUAUAUUAAUAAAAUUAAAUACAUAUAUUAUAAUUUUAAUAAAAUAGUAAAUCACUAAGUUACAAGUACGCUAAAAAAUAUUUCGUUGUGUCUACCAAGCCUUUUGAGUCAAGGGGCCAAUGAGAAGCUGCGUUACCAAAAAUUUUGCUAAGGGUUUUAUAAAGUAGAAAUUACAUGGUAUAUCAAAAGGUGGUCUAGAGUCUACUUCCCGAGAAAAUUUUCAGUGUCGGAAACAAGACUCAAUACACCAAGUGUCAUAAUACAAGUGGUUGUAUUUUUAACCACAUAUAUUGAGCAAUACUAGGUAGGCCAAAUUUUUUAAACCAAAAUUACAAACUAAAUGUUGUGGUUGUAGAUGGUUAGAUUAUUAAUUAAGUGUCGAUUAGCGUGUUUGUUUCUUAUUGGUGACAAGUCAUUUGAUUUGCACUUUGGUAUAAAAAAUUUGAUCUUCCUAGCACUACUCCACAUAUAUUAUGGCACCACGCAGUACCAGGACAAGGAGAAAUUUUUAGUUGUGACAGGAACACAAAUGGUACACCACGUGUUUUAAUAUGAGUGGUAAGAAAUUUUAUUUUUUAAGUUAUUAACUUUUUAGCGCACAUAUCUCACUAUUUGUAUAGUGACACGUGAUGUACCACCCUGUGUACCGAUCACACUGAAAAAUCUCUCAAGGACCAUGACCUUUGCUUCCUUAUUUUCCUCUUUUUCUUUCUCUUCCACCCAAUCCCAACCGUUGGAUCCUUAACCCAACGCAAUUGACUUCAUCCGUACAAGUUGUAGAACCACGCAAUACAAUGACCUUAGGCCAUCUCCAACCGAAGGGUCCAGAAGGCCGAAAAUAGCCCUAAAAUCGUCUCCAACCGAGGGCUAGGCCAGAAGGCUCGGGAAUCUGGGAGGGCCGCACGGAAUUUCAAAGGGCCAAAGGGCCAAAGGGCUGGCUGCUUUCGACCAGCCAGCCCCGGGCUGGCUAUUUUUUUUUUAUAGUUUUGUUAUUCCUGUCGGUUAUAACCGACAGGAAUACAUGCUAUUAUUUAAUAUACUAAAUAAUGGUGUAUUCCUGUCGGUUAUAACCGACAGGAUUUUAAAAAAAAAUUCAAAUGAAACGGCUACUAGCCGUUGCAUUUGAUUUGAUUUUUUUUUACAUUAUUUAUUAUUAUUAUUAUUUAUUUACAAAAAAUUUCAUAUAACUUCUAUUUUUUCCUAUAACUUCUAUUUCACAAAAUUUGGUUCAUAUUUUUUUUAAAUUCCAUUUUUUUCCUAUAACUUCUAUUUCACAAAAUUGUUUCAUAUUUUUUUUUCCUAUAACUUCUAUUUCACAAAAUUUAUUUCAUAUUUUUUUUAAAUUCCAUUUUUUUCCUAUAACUUCUAUUUCACAAAAUUUAUUUCAUAUUGUUUUUUAAAUUCCAUUUUUUUUCUAUAACUUCUAUUUCACAAAAUUUGUUUCAUAUUUUUAUUUUGAAUUCCAUUUUUUUCCUAUAACUUCUAUUUGACAAAAUUUGUUUCAUGUUUUUUUUUUAAAUUCCAUUUUUUUCCUAUAACUUCUAUUUGACAAAAUUUGUUUCAUAUUUUUUUUAAAUUCUAUUUUUUUUUCCUAUAACUUCCUAAGCCAUUAUACAACAUUAAAUUAAAUUAAGUAACAUGAAACAACGUUAAACAAUAUGAAACAACAUUAAAUAACAUUAACCAACAUAAAAAUUAUACAACAUGAAACUUAAACAACAUUUUAGUUGUAGUUUUUAAAUAAUAAAUUAUGUUUGGCCCUCGGUUGGAGACGGAGGCAAAUAUGGUCAUGUACUGUUCAUUAAAAUAUUAAUAUCUUGGGGAAUCUUGGAGGGCCAGAGGGCUAAAACGAGCCCUCUGGCCAGCCCUCGGUUAGAGAUGGCCUUAGCUAUGCCUCCCUUUCCUGCUGAUUCUAAAUCAACUAUGAAAACUCCUUUCAUUGGCUAGUCCAGAUUCAGCGUACAGAAAAAAAAAAAAGCCUUAAUACUUCACAAUAAAAACCUAAUGAAGUUCUUUUCUACUAUAUAAACCCCCUGUCCCAAGGAAAAGAAAAAAACCUUGAUCUCCUUGAUAUGGUGAAAAACAUGAUUAAUAUGCCAGUUGCUGAGAGUAUAUUAAUAAAAUCAAAUACAUAUAUAUAAUUUGAAUAAAAUAGUAAAUCACUAAGUUACAAGCUGCGUGUACGAAAAUUUUAGCCAAAUGUUUUACAAAGUAGAAACUAUGUGGUAUAUCAAAAGGUGGUCUAGAGUCUACUUCACGAGAAUUUUUUCAGUGCUGGAAACAUGGCUCGAUACACCAAGUGUCAUAAUACAAGUGAUUGUAAUUUUUUCUUUUCAAGUAUCAAACCAUUUAUAUUAUGAUAUUUGUUGUACCGAACUGUGUUCUUAGCACACUGGAAAAUCUCUCUUACUUCACCUAUGGUGUACACCUAAUAAACUUCUAAAAGAUGAGAAUCCAUCCAAUCGAAAUCAAGGGCCAAAGCUUGACAGAGUCUCUUGGUGCAUUUGCGAGUGGUCCUCUUUGAAAAUUGGACAAGGGUUUUGACACUCUUCCUAACUAAAUAUUCGACGCAACGUUUACAUCUCCAUUAAUUAUUUGGCCCUCCUUUGUACGUGUUCAGCUUUCGAAUAUACUGACACAAAUUACUAAAGUUGCUUUGGAUUUAUUAGUUAUUUAACGGACACAAGAGUACUGCAAAGUACGUACGAGUGAGGGAAUGUCCAAAAGAUCAAUCUGAUACUUUUUUGAAAGAAAUCGAGGAAAUUAAACUGCUGUAAGUUAGACUUUUAAGGAAUGAUACUGAUUGGUCUUAAUUUAUAACAAAAUCUCAACAGUAAUUUGUCGAAAGAUUUUGAUUUAAGCGAUAUUAUUGCUUUAAGCUCACUAAAAACUCAUGAGAGAGUUUGAACACGAAACACUAUUAGUUGUAGAAAACAGCCUUAUCCACCAAAUCAAUUCAGUAUUACAAUUUCUAUGGCCAAAGUGGUAAAACUUUCGUCUUCCAUCCCUGUCUUUAUAUACAGCUGAUCAUACAAGGACGAACUACAAAGAAUCAUGACUCCGAGUCAAUUGUCCGCAUUUAUGUUUUAGUCUUCCACCGUCUUAUGUUGUGGCCUAAAAGGUCGAUGAUCGCUCAACUGGCAAUAGGAGACUGAUAAAGAUAAUUUUCUCGGAGUAGAUUUUUAAUGUCUCGCAUUUUAUCAAAAGGUCAAUUAUAAAAAGAUUGGAAUUUCUCAAAAUCAAUUUAUAAGGCUUGGUUCCUUAUAAAAAGUGAUUGGAGUGAUAAAGUCUACAUAACCUAUUUAUCCCCGAAAGAAAAACCUUUACCGCACGUACACCAAUCACGUAAGCCCUACAAAGGCAAGUUGUGGUCUAUAAAAAAGUCCCCGUUGGCCCUCUGAAGAUCACAGAUCAAAGUUCAAACCAUGGAGUUCAAUGCAUAUUUUCUUGUGUUCUUUUCUCUUCUAUUCGUGCUGCAGUAUAGUUCUUGUAGAAUCACUGCACCAUGCAGUCAAACCCCAUACCCUCAAGUGUGUCGCCAUUACAUUAACACUAACCUCUUAUCAACCCUAGAUCGUCACCAAAGGUUUGCAGUUCGUGACUUGGCACUUAAAGUGUCCAUGGACCAAGCCCUUAAAGCUCAUCAACUUGUCUCGUCCUUGAACUUGAACUCAUUGGACGGUGACCAUACUCGAGCCAAGGGGGCCUGGAAUGACUGCUUGGAGCUCUACGAGGAUACCGUUGACAAGCUCAACCGUUCCAUCGGCUCCACCAAUGCCCUUGAUGUCAAUACAUGGUUGAGUGCAUCGCUUACUAAUCAACAGACAUGCCAAAAUGGUUUCAAAAACCUCAACAUUCCUAGUUCUCAUUUGCAAUCUUUCCCAAACUACGUCACGCUCUCAACCAACUUGUCCAAGAUGCUUAGCAACUCACUAUCAAUACACAAGGUCUCAACUUCUUCAUCAGCUCUACAUUUUAGCAAACAAGUUCGUGGA